CGAGCGCAACCCUCGCUGUGUGUUACAAGUGUCACACGGAACUGCCGGUCAUAAACCGGAGGAAGGUGGGGAUGACGUCAAGUCAGCAUGGCCUUUAUAUCCUGGGCUACACACACGCUACAAUGGGAAGGGACAAUAGGUUGCGAAGCCGCGAGGCGGAGCCAAUCCAGCAAAACUUCCCUCAGUUCAGAUUGCAGGCUGCAACUCGCCUGCAUGAAGUUGGAGUUGCUAGUAAACGCAGGUCAGCCAUACUGCGUUGAAUACGUUCCCGGGGCUU
This 277-nucleotide ribosomal RNA is filed under the name uncultured Anaerolineaceae bacterium. RNAcentral describes it as "partial 16S ribosomal RNA". It matches the Rfam family "Bacterial small subunit ribosomal RNA", at positions 1093 to 1382 of the family's 1533-position model. The record is from RNAcentral. Lineage: Bacteria; Bacillati; Chloroflexota; Anaerolineae; Anaerolineales; Anaerolineaceae.